CAGAUCCUAUUAGCGGCGGACUGGUGAGUAACGCGUGGGUGACCUACCUUGAAGGCUUGGGGAUAGCUGAUAGAAAUAGCAGGUAAUACCGAAUACGAUCGCAGGACUAUGGUUUUGUGAUGAAAGGAGCUACGUGCUCCGCCUUAAGAUGGGCCCGCGUCCCAUUAGCUAGUUGGCGGUGUAACUGACCACCAAGGCGAAGAUGGGUAGCCGGCCUGAGAGGGUGAACGGCACAUUGGGACUGAGAUACGGCCCAAACUCCUACGGGAGGCAGCAGCUAAGAAUAUUCCGCAAUGGACGCAAGUCUGACGGAGCGACGCCGCGUGGAUGAGGAAGGCCGAAAGGUUGUAAAAUCCUUUUGCCGAUGAAGAAUAAAUGCGGUAGGGAAUGACCGCAUGAUGACGUUAGUCUGCGAAUAAGCCCCGGCUAAUUACGUGC
This 438-nucleotide ribosomal RNA is filed under the name uncultured bacterium. RNAcentral describes it as "bacterial SSU rRNA". It matches the Rfam family "Bacterial small subunit ribosomal RNA", at positions 83 to 508 of the family's 1533-position model. The record is from RNAcentral.